This 119-nucleotide ribosomal RNA is filed under the name Nelumbo nucifera (sacred lotus). The record is from RNAcentral. Lineage: Eukaryota; Viridiplantae; Streptophyta; Magnoliopsida; Proteales; Nelumbonaceae.
GGGUGCGAUCAUACCAGCACUAAUGCACCGGAUCCCAUCAGAACUCCGAAGUUAAGCAUGCUUGGGCGAGAGUAGCACUUGGAUGGGUGACCUCCUGCGAAGUCCUCGUGUUGCACCCC